AGAAAGAUGAUUUUCCGCCAGAAUAAGAAUAAGAAGUGCAUUAUGCUCAUUCAUCAUAUCACAUAUGGUAGAAAUUGGUCCAAAAAAUUCAUUCCCAGCCACAUCUAGUGAUACCAUGUUGGGAGGAAAGUGAGGCAAGUAACCACUGAAUACAUUUUCAAUCAAAUGCAAUGUUAUCAAACUUGCUUUUGAUGAUAAAUCUGGUAAUUCCCCUCCAAGCCUAUUAAAAGAAAGAUCCAAAAUCUGCAUUGCUGGAGAAAGAUCCCAAAACCAGUCAGGUACAGUGUCAGAAAUGCUUGAAUUAGAUAAAUCAAUGUUCACAAUUUUUGUUUGGUUUUGAAGCCACUG
Molecule: unclassified non-coding RNA, 348 nt
Filed under: Hevea brasiliensis (rubber tree)
Lineage: Eukaryota; Viridiplantae; Streptophyta; Magnoliopsida; Malpighiales; Euphorbiaceae
Source: RNAcentral